Molecule: long non-coding RNA, 352 nt
Filed under: Fukomys damarensis (Damara mole-rat)
Lineage: Eukaryota; Metazoa; Chordata; Mammalia; Rodentia; Bathyergidae
Description: lncRNA (ENSFDAG00000031821.1)
Source: RNAcentral
AGAAAAGAGAGCAAAUAAGCAUUGGCAAGCCUCUUGUUCUCCUCAUCCCUCGUCCCACAAUAGACCUUGCCCAGGCAGACUUUACUCCACACCCUGGGCGAAGCCUAGCUUUGGCAGCUAACCUUCACGGUAGGCCAGUGGGCCAGUUUCCAAUUCAAAGAGGACCCACCCAGGCCCAGAGUCUCCUAGUGCGGAAACUGAGAAGGGAAAAGCUGACCCUCUCUACGAAGAACGAUUAUGCUCCUGAUUUCCCUGCAGAUGUGUUGGCCGCUGCUACAUGAGCAACAAAUGCAGAGAACUUCAAAUGCCCAGUGCUUGAAAGUGCAACAGACCCAGCCAUGGGUAAUCCACC